Molecule: long non-coding RNA, 230 nt
Organism: Ipomoea nil (Japanese morning glory)
Lineage: Eukaryota; Viridiplantae; Streptophyta; Magnoliopsida; Solanales; Convolvulaceae
Exons: 3
Source: RefSeq, a predicted model, not a curated record
AUUAUGAAUAGUUUUGUGGCAAUGUUUUUAUCAAGGGUCUUGGAGAACUGAUUGAGGGAAGGUGGAACCUUCAAGCGCUGAUUGAGGAUCCGUCUCUUCCUCUGGAUACGGACAACCUGAGGCCAUAUCACGAACCUUGUAUGAUCCUUCUUGGGUGGCAAUGCUCCGCCGAUGCCGAAUUGCUUUGGCUGCUUCUCGAACAACGGGUUCACGACCUUCUCUGACUUUUU